RNAcentral lists this unclassified non-coding RNA (234 nucleotides) under uncultured fungus. RNAcentral describes it as "sequence contains ITS2". The record is from RNAcentral. Lineage: Eukaryota; Fungi.
AACGCAUAUUGCGCCCUUUGGUAUUCCGAAGGGCAUACCUGUUCGAGCGUCAUUACACCCCUCAAAGAUAAGUCUUUGGUGUUGGGCAGUGCCUAAAAGCAUGCCUCAAAACUAGCGAUGGUGAUAUUCAACCGCAGGCGCACAAAGGUCGUCUAGCUGGCGGAAUGUUGUCAAUCAGUUGAUAAAUUUCUAAAUGUUGACCUCGGAUCAGGUAGGAAUACCCGCUGAACUUAA